Molecule: ribosomal RNA, 495 nt
Filed under: uncultured bacterium
Lineage: Bacteria
Description: partial 16S ribosomal RNA
Rfam family: Bacterial small subunit ribosomal RNA
Source: RNAcentral
GACGAACGCUGGCGGCGUGCCUAAUACAUGCAAGUUGAGCGAUGAAGAUUGGUGCUUGCACCAAUUUGAAGAGCAGCGAACGGGUGAGUAACGCGUGGGGAAUCUGCCUUUGAGCGGGGGACAACAUUUGGAAACGAAUGCUAAUACCGCAUAACAACUUUAAACAUAAGUUUUAAGUUUGAAAGAUGCAAUUGCAUCACUCAAAGAUGAUCCCGCGUUGUAUUAGCUAGUUGGUGAGGGAAAGGCUCACCAAGGCGAUGAUACAUAGCCGACCUGAGAGGGUGAUCGGCCACAUUGGAACUGAGAAACGGCCCAAACUCCAACGGGAGGCAGCAGUAGGGAAUCUUCGGCAAUGGACGAAAGUCUGACCGAGCAACGCGGCGUGAGUGAAGAAGGUUUUCGGAUCGUAAAACUCUGUUGGUAGAGAAGAACGUUGGUGAGAGUGGAAAGCUCAUCAAGUGACGGUAACUACCCAGAAAGGGACGGCUAACUACG